UACGGAGGGUGCAAGCGUUGCUCGGAAUUAUUGGGCGUAAAGGGUAGGUAGGUGGUCUCAUUUGUCUGGGGUGAAAGCCUUGAGCUUAACUCAAGAAGUGCCCCAGAAACGGUGAGACUAGAGUCCUGGAGAGGGUCGUGGAAUUCCCGGUGUAGCGGUGAAAUGCGUAGGGAUCGGGAGGAACACCAGAGGCGAAGGCGGCGACCUGGACAGGUACUGACACUCAACUACGAAAGCGUGGGGAGCAAACAGG
Molecule: ribosomal RNA, 253 nt
Filed under: uncultured bacterium
Lineage: Bacteria
Description: partial 16S ribosomal RNA
Rfam family: Bacterial small subunit ribosomal RNA
Source: RNAcentral